CAGAAGUUAGGCAUAAUUGUGCCUUCUUAGAGCUUUGAAGGCUCUGGGUCUGUAUAACCUAAACUUCU
RNAcentral lists this transfer RNA (68 nucleotides) under Euchoreutes naso (Long-eared jerboa). RNAcentral describes it as "tRNA-Trp". Lineage: Eukaryota; Metazoa; Chordata; Mammalia; Rodentia; Dipodidae. The record is from RNAcentral.